RNAcentral lists this ribosomal RNA (1359 nucleotides) under Pseudomonas azotoformans. RNAcentral's name for it is "bacterial SSU rRNA". It matches the Rfam family "Bacterial small subunit ribosomal RNA", at positions 79 to 1434 of the family's 1533-position model. The record is from RNAcentral. Lineage: Bacteria; Pseudomonadati; Pseudomonadota; Gammaproteobacteria; Pseudomonadales; Pseudomonadaceae.
CUUGCUUCUCUUGAGAGCGGCGGACGGGUGAGUAAUGCCUAGGAAUCUGCCUGGUAGUGGGGGAUAACGUUCGGAAACGGACGCUAAUACCGCAUACGUCCUACGGGAGAAAGCAGGGGACCUUCGGGCCUUGCGCUAUCAGAUGAGCCUAGGUCGGAUUAGCUAGUUGGUGAGGUAAUGGCUCACCAAGGCGACGAUCCGUAACUGGUCUGAGAGGAUGAUCAGUCACACUGGAACUGAGACACGGUCCAGACUCCUACGGGAGGCAGCAGUGGGGAAUAUUGGACAAUGGGCGAAAGCCUGAUCCAGCCAUGCCGCGUGUGUGAAGAAGGUCUUCGGAUUGUAAAGCACUUUAAGUUGGGAGGAAGGGUUGUAGAUUAAUACUCUGCAAUUUUGACGUUACCGACAGAAUAAGCACCGGCUAACUCUGUGCCAGCAGCCGCGGUAAUACAGAGGGUGCAAGCGUUAAUCGGAAUUACUGGGCGUAAAGCGCGCGUAGGUGGUUUGUUAAGUUGGAUGUGAAAUCCCCGGGUUCAACCUGGGAACUGCAUUCAAAACUGACUGACUAGAGUUUGGUAGAGGGUGGUGGAAUUUCCUGUGUAGCGGUGAAAUGCGUAGAUUUGGGAAGGAACCCCAGUGGCGAAGGCGACCACCUGGACUAAUACUGACACUGAGGUGCGAAAGCGUGGGGAGCAAACGGGAUUAGAUACCCUGGUAGUCCACGCCGUAAACGAUGUCAACUAGCCGUUGGAAGCCUUGAGCUUUUAGUGGCGCAGCUAAGGCAUUAAGUUGACCGCCUGGGGAGUACGGCCGCAAGGUUAAAACUCAAAUGAAUUGACGGGGGCCCGCACAAGCGGUGGAGCAUGUGGUUUAAUUCGAAGCAACGCGAAGAACCUUACCAGGCCUUGACAUCCAAUGAACUUUCUAGAGAUAGAUUGGUGCCUUCGGGAACAUUGAGACAGGUGCUGCAUGGCUGUCGUCAGCUCGUGUCGUGAGAUGUUGGGUUAAGUCCCGUAACGAGCGCAACCCUUGUCCUUAGUUACCAGCACGUUAUGGUGGGCACUCUAAGGAGACUGCCGGUGACAAACCGGAGGAAGGUGGGGAUGACGUCAAGUCAUCAUGGCCCUUACGGCCUGGGCUACACACGUGCUACAAUGGUCGGUACAGAGGGUUGCCAAGCCGCGAGGUGGAGCUAAUCCCAUAAAACCGAUCGUAGUCCGGAUCGCAGUCUGCAACUCGACUGCGUGAAGUCGGAAUCGCUAGUAAUCGCGAAUCAGAAUGUCGCGGUGAAUACGUUCCCGGGCCUUGUACACACCGCCCGUCACACCAUGGGAGUGGGUUGCACCAGAAGUAGCUAGU